AGACCACCGAAGAAAAGGCGGAAACAGACCCCAAAUAGAGCUUAGCGACCGUCUUCCACGGCAAAAGCUGCUAGGAUUCAAGCUUGAUAGAGGAAACCAUGAUAUAGGGACUCCAUGGUUUGCCGGAAGUCGAGACGAGUGAGGGAGGAGUGAGCUGGCAUGGCGAUGAAGGCCAUGAGAGAACCAAAAUUUUCUAGAGAGACGAAGUGUUAGAGAGUGUUUGGGAGUGAAAGGGAAUACGAGGGCGACGGAUUCAGAGAAAUGGUUUAGG
RNAcentral lists this long non-coding RNA (271 nucleotides) under Nicotiana benthamiana. RNAcentral's name for it is "long non-coding RNA (NBEN_LNC001509)". The record is from RNAcentral. Lineage: Eukaryota; Viridiplantae; Streptophyta; Magnoliopsida; Solanales; Solanaceae.